This 253-nucleotide ribosomal RNA is filed under the name uncultured bacterium. Its description in RNAcentral is "partial 16S ribosomal RNA". It matches the Rfam family "Bacterial small subunit ribosomal RNA", at positions 524 to 776 of the family's 1533-position model. The record is from RNAcentral.
UACAGGGGGUGCAAACGUUGCUCGGAAUCAUUGGGCGUAAAGCGCACGUAGGCGGUCUGUUAUGUCGGAUGUGAAAGCCCUUGGCUCAACUGAGGAAGUGCAUCCGAAACUGGCAGGCUAGAGUACUAAAGAGGGUCGCGGAAUUCCCGGUGUAGAGGUGAAAUGCGCAGAUAUCGGGAAGAACACCCGUGGCGAAGGCGGCUCUCUGGGACGGUACUGACGCUGAGACGCGAAAGCGUGGGGAGCGAACAGG